AGACUCCUACGGGAGGCAGCAGUAAGGAAUAUUGGACAAUGGCCGCAAGGCUGAUCCAGCCAUGCCGCGUGCAGGAUGAAGGUGCUCUGCAUUGUAAACUGCUUUUGUUCGGGAAUAAACCCUUUCACGUGUGAGAGGUUGAAUGUACCGAAAGAAUAAGGGACGGCUAACUUCGUGCCAGCAGCCGCGGUAAUACGAAGGUCCCAAGCGUUAUCCGGAUUUAUUGGGUUUAAAGGGUGCGUAGGCGGGUUAUUAAGUCAGUGGUGAAAGCUCCCAGCUCAACUGGGAAACUGCCAUUGAUACUGAUAGUCUUGAGUAUGAUUGAAGUGGGCGGAAUGUGUCAUGUAGCGGUGAAAUGCUUAGAUAUGACACAGAACACCGAUUGCGAAGGCAGCUCACUAAGCCAUAACUGACGCUGAUGCACGAAAGCGUGGGGAGCAAACAGGAUUAGAUACCCUGGGUAGUCCACGCCCUAAACGAUGAUCACUCGAUGUGUGCGAUAAACUGUACGCGUCCAAGCGAAAGCAUUAAGUGAUCCACCUGGGGGAGUACGACCGCAAGGGUUGAAACUCAAAGGGAAUUUGACGG
This 588-nucleotide ribosomal RNA is filed under the name uncultured Fluviicola sp. RNAcentral describes it as "bacterial SSU rRNA". It matches the Rfam family "Bacterial small subunit ribosomal RNA", at positions 333 to 916 of the family's 1533-position model. The record is from RNAcentral. Lineage: Bacteria; Pseudomonadati; Bacteroidota; Flavobacteriia; Flavobacteriales; Crocinitomicaceae.